This 460-nucleotide ribosomal RNA is filed under the name uncultured bacterium. RNAcentral describes it as "partial 16S ribosomal RNA". It matches the Rfam family "Bacterial small subunit ribosomal RNA", at positions 338 to 795 of the family's 1533-position model. The record is from RNAcentral.
CCUACGGGUGGCAGCAGUGAGGAAUAUUGGUCAAUGGACGAAAGUCUGAACCAGCCAAGUAGCGUGAAGGAUGACUGCCCUAUGGGUUGUAAACUUCUUUUAUAAAGGAAUAAAACGAGGCACGUGUGCCUCUUUGCAUGUACUUUAUGAAUAAGGAUCGGCUAACUCCGUGCCAGCAGCCGCGGUAAUACGGAGGAUCCGAGCGUUAUCCGGAUUUAUUGGGUUUAAAGGGAGCGUAGAUGGGUUGUUAAGUCAGUUGUGAAAGUUUGCGGCUCAACCGUAGCAUUGCAAUUGAUACUGGCAGUCUUGAGUAGAGUUGAGGAAGGCGGAAUUCGUGGUGUAGCGGUGAAAUGCUUAGAUAUCACGAAGAACCCCGAUUGCGAAGGCAGCUUACUAACCUGUGACUGACAUUGAGGCACGAAAGUGUGGGGAUCGAACAGGAUUAGAUACCCGGGUAGUC